RNAcentral lists this transfer RNA (85 nucleotides) under Felis catus (domestic cat). It matches the Rfam family "tRNA". From Rfam's summary of the family: Transfer RNA (tRNA) molecules are approximately 80 nucleotides in length. Their secondary structure includes four short double-helical elements and three loops (D, anti-codon, and T loops). Further hydrogen bonds mediate the characteristic L-shaped molecular structure. tRNAs have two regions of fundamental functional importance: the anti-codon, which is responsible for specific mRNA codon recognition, and the 3' end, to which the tRNAs corresponding amino acid is attached (by aminoacyl-tRNA synthetases). tRNAs cope with the degeneracy of the genetic code in two manners: having more than one tRNA (with a specific anti-codon) for a particular amino acid; and 'wobble' base-pairing, i.e. permitting non-standard base-pairing at the 3rd anti-codon position. The record is from Rfam by way of RNAcentral. Lineage: Eukaryota; Metazoa; Chordata; Mammalia; Carnivora; Felidae.
ACCUGGGUGGCUUGGUCGGUGAAGCAUCUGACUUCAGCUCACAUCAUGAUGUCACCAUUCAUGGGUUCAAACCCCAUGUCAGGCU